RNAcentral lists this transfer RNA (76 nucleotides) under Clostridiales bacterium. Its description in RNAcentral is "tRNA-Lys". It matches the Rfam family "tRNA". From Rfam's summary of the family: Transfer RNA (tRNA) molecules are approximately 80 nucleotides in length. Their secondary structure includes four short double-helical elements and three loops (D, anti-codon, and T loops). Further hydrogen bonds mediate the characteristic L-shaped molecular structure. tRNAs have two regions of fundamental functional importance: the anti-codon, which is responsible for specific mRNA codon recognition, and the 3' end, to which the tRNAs corresponding amino acid is attached (by aminoacyl-tRNA synthetases). tRNAs cope with the degeneracy of the genetic code in two manners: having more than one tRNA (with a specific anti-codon) for a particular amino acid; and 'wobble' base-pairing, i.e. permitting non-standard base-pairing at the 3rd anti-codon position. The record is from RNAcentral. RNAcentral also lists the same sequence under 1 other name. Lineage: Bacteria; Bacillati; Bacillota; Clostridia; Eubacteriales.
GGUCCAUUAGCUCAGUUGGUAGAGCACUUGACUUUUAAUCAAGUUGUCCCGCGUUCGAGUCGCGGAUGGAUCACCA